GACGAACGCUGGCGGCGUGCUUAACACAUGCAAGUCGAACGAGACGAUUUAGAAGCUUGCUUUUAUUGAGUCGAGUGGCAAACGGGUGAGUAACGCGUAGACAACCUGCCUCAUACAGAGGGAUAACAGCUGGAAACGGCUGCUAAUACCGCAUAAGCGCACAGUGCUGCAUGGCACAGUGUGAAAAACUCCGGUGGUAUGAGAUAGACCCGCGUCUGAUUAGCCAGUUGGCAGGGUAACGGCCUACCAAAGCGACGAUCAGUAGCCGACCUGAGAGGGUGACCGGCCACAUUGGGACUGAGACACGGCCCAAACUCCUACGGGAGGCAGCAGUGGGGAAUAUUGCACAAUGGGGGAAACCCUGAUGCAGCGACGCCGCGUGAGCGAAGAAGUAUUUCGGUAUGUAAAGCUCUAUCAGCAGGGAAGAAGAAUGACGGUACCUGACUAAGAAGCACCGGCUAAAUACGUGCCAGCAGCCGACGG
RNAcentral lists this ribosomal RNA (483 nucleotides) under uncultured bacterium. RNAcentral describes it as "bacterial SSU rRNA". It matches the Rfam family "Bacterial small subunit ribosomal RNA", at positions 28 to 520 of the family's 1533-position model. The record is from RNAcentral.